RNAcentral lists this long non-coding RNA (6776 nucleotides) under Gossypium barbadense (sea-island cotton). Its description in RNAcentral is "long non-coding RNA (GBAR_LNC018475)". Lineage: Eukaryota; Viridiplantae; Streptophyta; Magnoliopsida; Malvales; Malvaceae. The record is from RNAcentral.
CCGAAAAGCUUAAAUAAUUAAAACAAAAAAUACACAGCAAAAAUAAAGUCCAAACAUGAAACAGUCCAAGAUAGUCCAAAAAUGCUGAAAUAAUAAAAUUAAGAAAAAUAUAAUGAUUAAUUAAUUUAUUUUUAACCAAGUUCCGUCACACCGACCCAUCCUAAGUCUGAGGGUUACCUAAUUGACAAACAACAGAAAGUGAGUUUUUGAAACUUAGUGUGUAACAUAUCAUACAGAAAUCAAUUAGACAUAUAGAUAUAUAUAUUAGAAGCAGAGCUUAUCAAAACAUAACAGAUGCAAAUAUAUAUAAUCCUAUCCCCAUCCACUACACACCAUCUUUGCCAUCCCAACACACCAUAUAGGGUAUUAUAAAUCCAUCCAACCCUACACACUGUUUAGUGCUGAUAUGACACUUUUCAAAAUAUUUGCAGCUGAACUACCAGUUUAUUAAGUGUGAUUUAUCGCUUCUUACAAAAAAAUAUGUGGUUGUGCCACCAAUUACGAUAGAGAUAGCCUACACUUCUAUCAUAUACACAAGUCCCAUCCCAAAUGCAAAUGCAGAACUAACAGAUUUCUAAUAUUUUUAUGAUAUACAUGCUUAUCAUGACCAAUACAGAACAUACAUAACACUUUUCAGAUUAUACAUACUAUAGAUUUAUCACCUCAUAUAUACGUGCAUAUAUCAUAUUUUAUGCUAACAGAUGGUCAAAUUUCAUGUUUUAUAACUUCAUUGAUCACAUACAAACCCUAUGGAAGGCCUACAUUCGAUUCAAAUGAUAUUUACGGCCUUAGGCACACGUAUGGCCUACACGGCCUCACACAUGCCCUUGUGUGGCCCACACGGCCCAAUUGGCCUAAACUAUGUGUCACACAUAGCCCAGCACACAGCCUGUCACAUGGUUGUAUGUCACACACACGAUAGUGUGGCAUCAACAAUAUAGAUUUUUACUUUUGUUGUUCGCUAAUUUUCAGGUUUUUCGCUACACUCAUUUAUUGUUUCUAAAGUGAAUCCACUCGUAAGACUUCCAAAACCUAAAAUGUUAAUUAACCCACCUGAUUAGCAAUGAUUUCCCAAUUUUCCAACUAACACUUCCAUUCAAAAACGUUAGUAUAAACAUUAUUAAUCUAAAAUUUAGACUCUUAGGCGUUCUAACACUCACCCAAAAAUCCACAGCAGAACCAAGUACCACUGACUCACAAUAGGAAAAUUUUGAACUUCUUGAUUAACACUUAACAACAAAAAUUUACGAGAUUAAACCAUGCUCCAAUGAUAAUUAAGCCAUUAAUCACAACCCUUAUACAAAACUAUAGAGAACACUUACCUAUGAAUUCCCGUAGAAUCAUAAUCGCACAAAAGAAUAAGGUUGAACCCCAUACCAAUUCACAAGGAAGAGAUUAAAACAAAAUAACAAAGAAAUCAAGAACAAAAUAGCACAGGAGGCGUAAAUGAAAGAAGGGAAAAUAAAGAAAGUACAAGAAAGGAAGGAACAAAAAGAAUAGAACGUGGAAGCACAAUUGGGAAAUGUGGGGAAUUUGGGAAAGAUUAAAUGAAGUAAAAUAAAAUAAUAAAAAUCUUUUUCUUUUUCUAGCCAUUUAAUUUUUGAAAAGAAAACAAUAAAAGAAUCAUGAUAACCACCUAUCAGAUACCGAUAACCACACAGAUUUUUUUAAGAAUUUGAAUUUAACUUAUCCACGAGAACAAGGCAAAGCAUAAAAAUAUUCCACUAGCUCGUGCAAAAAGUCGAACACAUGAUUAAAAGGUUUACAAGGACUUAACCAUUGAACCACUAAGCUUAUCAUUAACAUAGAUUGACCAAAAAUAAUUUUUAACCCCAACAAACAGAGUUAGGUCUAGGGAAAAAAUACUUGAAUUUUCCCCAAAGAUAGAUUUGAACCCAAGACCUCAAAUACAUAAAAAAAGGUACUUAACCACUAAAGCAAAUACUGAUUAAUAUCAAAAUUUAACAGAUCAACAAUUAAAUUUUUGGGACGUUAUGUGACAGCCCUAAACUGACCCUAGUCGAAAAGUGGUUUCGGGACCACGAAACCGAGUCCUAUAAGAAAUUAAAAGAUAUAUUCCGUGUUUAUAAUGUGAGUAAAUGCAUGUGUGAAAGUUUCAUGCAUUAAUUUGAUUAUUUUUAUGUGAAUUUAGUUAAAAAGGACUUAUGUGAAAAAUAUUAAAAUUGUGGUAGGUUGAAGUGUAGUGGUCAAAUAUUGCAUGGCUUAAAAUAUGGGGAUUUGCAUGUCAAAUUCCCCAUUUUUAUGUAAGUGGCUGGCCAUGAUGAUGGUUGAAUAGCCAUAUAUGCAUUAUAUAUUAUAUUAUAAUAGUUAAUGGUUUAAAUUUUAAAAUAAAAAAAGGGGAAGCCAUACAUCCUUGCCUUGUGCUUGCCAAAUGUUGAGAAAGAAAGAAGAAAUAUAAUUAUUAAAUGAUAUUUGGCCACUACAUAGGUAAGUGGACGGUAAUGGACCACCAUUUAAAAGGUUUUCAUAUUAAAUUACAAAGAUUAAUUUAGUAAUUGGCUUAUUAAAAUGAAAUAUAAUAGAAGAUGGUGAUAAAAACAAAGUUACACCCAUCCUUUCUUGCAUUUUUGCCGAAAACCAUAAAGAAAAGAAAAUGGAAAUGAAGCUAGGGCAUUCGGCUAUGGUGAAUGUAUAGAUUAAGGUAUGUUUAAUGCUCUUUCAUUGAAAAUCCUUGUAUAUUUGGAGUGGUCAUCAAGUAUAGAAGUCAGCUCAUGGCAAACUUUUUGUAAAUGGAUGAAGAUGACAUUUGGUCAUGGAUGUUUAUAUUUCUUUGAUGUUGGUUUCGAUGUUUUGUGUAUUGAGGGUUGAUAAUAGAUGGAAGCCGAAUGGUUGUUGUAUGUAGAUAGCAUGCAUGCCAAUAAUGUUUUUAUUUUCUACUUAAUGUCUUAUUGAUUAUGAGUUAACAUGAAUAUUUAGUUGAACAUAUACCUUGAAUUAUGUUCAAAAAUUUUAAUUGAUUAGUUGUACUCUUCUUUUUGCUUUUGAAUAUUCGAAAUAUUGAAGGUGAAAGGCUGGAAAAUUUCAAGUUGAAAUGUUGUCCAAAUGCUGGAAAUUUAGCAUGCAUAUUCUUUUAUUUAAAUGCUUUGACCGAAUGUUGGAAGUUAACUUGAAUGAUGUCUGGUUGCUGCAUGAGGGAGUUAAAAUUGAACUUAAGAUAGUUUAUUACUAAUUAAUUUGCUGCUGUAAUGCUGUAAAUUAUUGGCUGUCCAAAUUAGGACAAAUUUAUGGUACUUAGCUAAUUAAUAUGCUGCUGUAAUACUUAAAUUAUUGGCUCUCCAAAUUAGGACAAAAUCAUGGUGUUAUGUGCUAGCAUGAUAUGUAUGUGUGAUUGAAGUGAAAAAUGUUUAGAUGAUUUAUAGUAAUUGGCUAAUGUGUUUUUGUGGAUAUAGAUGCCGAAUGUGGACUCAAGAAAUUAAUUGGAAAAUUUGUUGUUUGUUUAGGUGAUAGAAAGUAUGAAAUAGUCUUAUGUGAUACGUGUAUAUAAGUAGAUGGAAGUGAAGUGUCCUAUAUUUUUGUGUAUGGGAUUAAUUGCAUUUUGAUUUUAAUGUGCAUGAUUAUUACUAUGUUUAAAAUGUGUGAAAGCCGAAUAUGCUCAUGAUACAAUGCUUGAUUAGUUGAUUAACAAUAAGUUAAAUUUGUGUAAUCCAAGCUUAAGAGCAAAGAGGAUCAAAGUCGGAUAGGGGAAAAGAGAAAGUAAACAAAUAGCCGUGGAUAUCUAGUCGUCGACCACUUCCGAGGUAAGUUUUAAGUGAUUAAACGUUGAGUAAAUUCAAUCAUAAUAGGACAUAAUGAGUUGAUUUAAUAAGGUAUGAUGUGGCCAUGAUAUGUCUUAAACUCAAAUGGUAAGUUCAUAUGUGUUUGGACUUGGAAAUUUAAGAGCAAAUUGUAAUAAUUUGCUUUGGACAGCAGCAGUAACGUGAUUUUAGAAAAUCACUAUAAAUUGUUGGUGUGGAAUUAUAGGCUGAAUAAAAUAUGUAAUCAAGGCUUAAUUAGUCUAGUUUCUUAUAAAAGAGACCUUGUGAGCAAAGAAAUUUCCUAUAAAGAGAUAUUUAAAGUUGUGUGAGACGGUGUCAGAAUGACUCCGAAAUCCCCUGAUCUGUUUUUAGAAAAUCAUUAUAAAUUGUACAAAAAUGGUUAUAAGAUAAAAUUUAUAUGCUUAGACUCCUUAAUGAGUCUAGUUUCAAAUGAAAUCAAAUACAACACAUUUUGAAUUCUGUAAAAUGAGAAAUUUGAUUCGUAGUGAAGAGUGGUCAGAUUAGUCAAACAGUGAAACAGGGGAAACUUUAAGAAAAAUCUGGUAUUUAUUGGACAAACCUAAAAUUCUGGAAAUUUUAUGGAUAGAAUAUAUACGAGUCUAUAUUCAGGAAAAAUUAACGGCAAGUGAUUUGGAGUUUUGUAUCUCUGGUUAUAAAUAAUUUAGUGACCAUUGCUCAGGAAAACAGCUCGUAGUGAAUAUGUGAUUUUGUUGUAAACAUGGAUAAAACUUGUUUUAGUUGCUCAUAAGCUAUUGAUUAAACCCAUACUUGAAUUCUAAAUCGUGAUAUUGUAAGUUUAUGAGUAUUCGAAUAUGAAAUGAUAGUAUGGCGUAAAAUUGAAUUAUUCAUUGGAAAGUGAUGGAUGUAGAUUCGGCCAAGACCAAGUCUGUACAUGAUAGUAUAUGUGGUAUGUGAAGUAUAUUUGAAUGAAUGUGAAAGUAUAUAUAUGUGAUAAGGCCUAAUGGCCGAUGUGAUGAAUGUGAAAGUGUAUAUAUGUGAUAAGGCCUAAUGGCCGAUGUGAUGAAUGUGAAAGUGUAUAUAUGUGAUAAGGCCUAAUGGCCGAUGUGAUGAAUGUGAAAGUGUAUAUAUGUGAUAGGGCCGAGUGGCCAACGUGAUGGAUGUGAAAGUGUAUAAAUGUGAUAAGUCCCGAAGGGCAUUUGUGUCAGUACUAUAUCCGGGUUAAAACCCCGCAGGCUUUAUGCGAGAUUAUUAUCACUGAUUAAUGUCCGUAGGCUUCGUGCUCGUACUAUAUCCGAGCUCUAAAGACCCGAUGACUACGUGUGGAGAUUUUGUCCAGGUAAGCCCCGAACUAAAGGUUUUGCUGAAGAUUCAAGUAAAGCGUAAGAUUAUACAACUUCACAGUAACAAUUGGUAAUAAAUACGUUCAAUGCGUUAAGUUGGUCAGGUAUGUAUUUUGAGAUUAUAUUUAAGUUUGAUUUAGACUAAAUCACAAGGUCGUUAUGUGAUGCACAUGUGAGUAAAGCAAUAAGACUGUUCUAUGAUUAUUGUGCAUUUGGUCAAUGUGGAAAGUCAGGAAAAAAAAUAUGUAAUGUACCUAUGAUCAUAAGAGGUCACUAUCAAGUGAGAAUUUAUCUGCCUAUUAUAUAUGAUGAGAUGUGCAUAUUCAGUAAAGGGAUGGUAUGCCCGAAGGAAGAGUGAAAUAAAAAAUACGAACAACUAUGUUAUAAUUUGAUUGUUAUCUGUUGACACUGCUUAAAACUUACUAAGCAUUAUAAUGCUUACUCCGUGUACUUUGUUUCCUCUGUUUUAUAGAUCUCAUUUGGAAGCUACAGGCUCGGGGAUCAUCAGCAACUAGUCACACUAUCACUAUCCACUGUUUGGUACUGCUACGUUUUGGAUUAUCUUAUGGCAUGUAUAGAAUAGACUAGUAGUGAGAGGAUAUUUUGGUUAAUGUAUAUAAGCCAUGCGAAAAUGGCAUCUUUUGAAUGUGUACUUAUAGAAGUUUAAAUUGUAUCCCUGACUGUCUCUAGUACUUAUCUAGAGGAAUGUUCAAAAAAAAAAUUUACUGUUCUGAUAUGAGUUUCAAGACUGGUAAUGCCCCUUUAUCUAUUCCGGCGACGGAUACGGGAUUGGGGUGUUACACGUUACACAUUUAAAGUCUUUCAUUUCAAUUUUUAGAAUUUAUAAUAUAGGUAGGAAAUAGUUUGCCUAACUCUAUAUAUAAGCACCAAAGUAUCAUUUAUACACAUUUAAACUCUCCUUUUUAAUUAGUCCGUAUACAAGUUAUGGUAUCUUGUGUUUUGUAUCAUUUUAUGGAAAUUUUGGUAUUUUAAGCUUGUAUCGACACUUGUCGACAUAAAGCAAGACUUUACUUUUUUAUAUAUAUAUUUUUGGCCAUAGUGGUCUUAUCCAAACCUUCUAUAAUGAUAGUACGGUUCAUACAUAUACAUAUCCUAUAAAGCUUUAGUUACUUCCAUGGCAACUUUAACAUCCUUUUAACAUAAUUGCCUAACAACACAUCUCAUGGCCACUAAUAAAAACACUUUACAUUUUAAUGACUUAUUUCAUUGCAUUAUGCCAUGGGAUUACACACUAAUAUAUUAACACUUAACUAUGACUUCAAUUUCAUAAACCCUAAGCUUACUAACUUAAGGGAAAAAUGAUCCAAGAUACUUUUCCAACAUUUAAUCAAUCUUUGAUGAACACCAAUCCAUCAUCAAUUAAGCUUGGAAAUCCUCAAAUCACCAUUUCCUCAUUUCUAUGCAACCAAAAUAUAAUAAAAAAUGAACAUAAAUUCUUUCUAAGCUUUUUCAUAUCAUUUCUCAAUAAUUAUCAAACUAAUCGAGGUGUAGAAAACCAUUUCUUACCAUUAUUGAAGCUUUCUCACUCUAGCUUUAUCUUCUCUCAACAAAGCUCCAUAAACCCUAAGUUGAAAUUAGUGAAAUUGAUUAUGGUAAUGAGUUCAGGAGGUGGUUUCCAUAAAGAUUUCAACAAAAUUUUAAGGUGAGUAAUGGAAAUUUUGAAAGAAAAUGAAGAAAU